RNAcentral lists this ribosomal RNA (454 nucleotides) under uncultured bacterium. Its description in RNAcentral is "bacterial SSU rRNA". It matches the Rfam family "Bacterial small subunit ribosomal RNA", at positions 67 to 518 of the family's 1533-position model. The record is from RNAcentral.
AGCAUGAAGGUAGCAAUACCUUGAUGGCGACCGGCGCACGGGUGCGUAACACGUAUCCAAUCUACCCAUGGCUCGGGAAUAGCUUUCGAAAGAAAGAUUAAUGCCCGAUGGUCUUACGAAGAGACAUCUUUUUGUAAGUAAAGAUUUAUCGGCGAUGGAUGAGGAUGCGUCUGAUUAGGUAGAUGGCGGGGCAACGGCCCACCAUGCCGACGAUCAGUAGGGGUUCUGAGAGGAAGGUCCCCCACAUUGGAACUGAGACACGGUCCAAACUCCUACGGGAGGCAGCAGUGAGGAAUAUUGGUCAAUGGUCGAGAGACUGAACCAGCCAAGUAGCGUGAAGGAAGACUGCCCUAUGGGUUGUAAACUGCUUUUAUAUAGGGAUAAAGUGAGGGACGUGUCCCUUAUUGUAGGUACUAUAUGAAUAAGGACCGGCUAAUUCCGUGCCAGCCGCCGC